This 169-nucleotide RNase P RNA is filed under the name Rhodobiaceae bacterium. RNAcentral's name for it is "partial RNase P RNA component class A". It matches the Rfam family "Bacterial RNase P class A", at positions 202 to 367 of the family's 367-position model. From Rfam's summary of the family: Ribonuclease P (RNase P) is a ubiquitous endoribonuclease, found in archaea, bacteria and eukarya as well as chloroplasts and mitochondria. Its best characterised activity is the generation of mature 5'-ends of tRNAs by cleaving the 5'-leader elements of precursor-tRNAs. Cellular RNase Ps are ribonucleoproteins. The record is from RNAcentral. Lineage: Bacteria; Pseudomonadati; Pseudomonadota; Alphaproteobacteria; Hyphomicrobiales; Rhodobiaceae.
CAGGGUAAACCCCGCCGGGAGCAAAACCAAAUAGAAGCGGUACAUGGCCGGUUUCCGGGCCACUGCUUGGGUAGGUUGCUUGAGGUGUCCGGUAACGGGCAUCCCAGAUGAAUGAUCACCGCCAUCCUUUGGAUGUGCACAGAACCCGGCUUACAGACUGUCUGACCCC